GAUGAACGCUGGCGGCGUGCCUAAUACAUGCCAGUCGAGCGAACGGACGAGAAGCUUGCUUCUCUGAUGUUAGCGGCGGACGGGUGAGUAACACGUGGAUAACCUACCUAUAAGACUGGGAUAACUUCGGGAAACCGGAGCUAAUACCGGAUAAUAUUUUGAACCGCAUGGUUCAAAAGUGAAAGACGGUCUUGCUGUCACUUAUAGAUGGAUCCGCGCUGCAUUAGCUAGUUGGUAAGGUAACGGCUUACCAAGGCAACGAUGCAUAGCCGACCUGAGAGGGUGAUCGGCCACACUGGAGCUGAGACACGGUCCAGACUCCUACGGGAGGCAGCAGUAGGGAAUCUUCCGCAAUGGGCGAAAGCCUGACGGAGCAACGCCGCGUGAGUGAUGAAGGUCUUCGGAUCGUAAAACUCUGUUAUUAGGGAAGAACAUAUGUGUAAGUAACUGUGCACAUCUUGACGGUACCUAAUCAGAAAGCCACGGCUAACUACGUG
This 497-nucleotide ribosomal RNA is filed under the name uncultured bacterium. Its description in RNAcentral is "partial 16S ribosomal RNA". It matches the Rfam family "Bacterial small subunit ribosomal RNA", at positions 28 to 507 of the family's 1533-position model. The record is from RNAcentral.